AGUUUUUUUGUUCCCAGGAUAUGGAAGCCAUAUGUCAUUCCAGAUGUUAAUAGUCUUUCUGUCGCCUAUUCUCUAACCAACCCCUGAUUUUAAUCCCGAAGAACAAAUUCCAGAGGUCGAUCGAGAAAAACGAAAGGUUUUGGAAUAACCAGAACACGAUACAAAAUGAGUACCAAAGCUCGAGAACUCGUAAAGGUUGGAAGACGGUUAGAGAGUCAACAAACUAUCAACUAGUCCAGCUUUGGUACAUAGAUACUUUAUUUUGUUCAAUGGCAUGUAUAGGUAUUUUUGGGUCAUUUUGUCAUAUGUGUCAUUUGGCUAGCAAUGUAAAGGCUUGAAUGUUAUAUCUAUUCAUCUUGUGUAUGGCCUUGAUAUAUGGCUUGUAUUGGUGUAGGUUGCUAUCCUACUAAUCAUGCAAUUUUUACUUGUUGAAAUAAUUACAUGGUGUAUUAUGAAUGGAUACGAUAAA
Gossypium arboreum is the source of this 469-nucleotide long non-coding RNA. RefSeq lists it as uncharacterized. NCBI's taxonomy places the organism in Eukaryota, Viridiplantae, Streptophyta, Magnoliopsida, Malvales, Malvaceae. The record is from RefSeq and is a predicted model, not a curated record. The transcript is spliced from 3 exons.